Molecule: transfer RNA, 33 nt
Filed under: Pristimantis aff. ridens C AJC-2008
Lineage: Eukaryota; Metazoa; Chordata; Amphibia; Anura; Strabomantidae
Description: partial tRNA-Met
Source: RNAcentral
UAGUAGAGGAGGGGUUUUAACCUUCAUGUUUGG